Molecule: ribosomal RNA, 253 nt
Filed under: uncultured bacterium
Lineage: Bacteria
Description: partial 16S ribosomal RNA
Rfam family: Bacterial small subunit ribosomal RNA
Source: RNAcentral
UACGAAGGGGGCUAGCGUUGUUCGGAAUCACUGGGCGUAAAGCGCACGUAGGCGGAUUUGUUAGUCAGGGGUGAAAUACCGGGGCUCAACCUCGGAACUGCCUUUGAUACUGCAGAUCUCGAGCCCGGAAGAGGUGAGUGGAAUUCCUAGUGUAGAGGUGAAAUUCGUAGAUAUUAGGAAGAACACCAGUGGCGAAGGCGGCUCACUGGAUCGGUACUGACGCUGAGGUGCGAAAGCGUGGGGAGCAGACAGG